Molecule: long non-coding RNA, 1624 nt
Organism: Oxyura jamaicensis (ruddy duck)
Lineage: Eukaryota; Metazoa; Chordata; Aves; Anseriformes; Anatidae
Exons: 2
Source: RefSeq, a predicted model, not a curated record
CAUUUCUCUGACCUGAUGUCAGGAUCUUGUCUCUCACCUCAUGGUUCCCCAUGAAUCGUGGCCAAAGUGGCUCGAAAAGCGGCCCUCUUUUUUUUUUUAGCUUUUGCCAAAUGCUUCUCUAGGAACCCCAGGGUUGUUGCGCAUACCGGACUUUUCUUGUUUAGCAUUUCAAAAAUAAACUGCGGGAUGCUGGCAGCCCUGCUGGUUAAGUCAGCACACACACAAAAGAUGAAAAAAAAUACAUUUAAGCUGACGUUGUGCGGCAGAGGAUUAUUUAUAGACCCUAAGAGCCGGGAGAGGCCUUUCCUCUCUGCCCCUCCAUCCCUAUCCUGCACACUGCAGCAAGACACGUUCUCCCAUCACCACCUACAUCCCACGGGACAAAGGAAAAAAGAAAGUGGCCAGUGCUUUUAUCUACCCGGCCCAGGAGGCGUGGAAGGCAGCAAGGCCUCUGGGGCAGCCUGGGGUUUUGCAGUGUUUGUGCCUGGUUUUGAGGCUGGGGGCUACGGAGCCCUGACGUCAGAGCUGGGACGUCGGCUGUGCUUGGGAUCGUGCACGGGCUUCCUUCCAGGCGUGUUUCUACCAUGGUCACAGAUUGAGCUGGGUGUUUUCCUGCCGUGCCUCGGGGCAGCCUGUUUAGCAGAAGCCUGCCCAGUUCCCAGAAAGACAGCACCUCCCAAAAUAGGCUGCUCUGACGGAGAAAGGCAGAGACAUGCAGUCUGCUGGGGCACGGGGGUCAGCCGGGCUUUUGGGUUAGCACCCCCGCAAAAAUGCACCCUUGUUAUCUCUGGUUUCCCCCCCCUUGGUGAACUCAGAGGGGACGCUGAUCUCCAGUUGCUCCCGUGGCAGUAGGAAACGGGUGGUGAAGUAGCUUGGUAAUUCAUGAAGUAAAGCCCUCCUUUUCCUUUCGAACCAUAUUUUAUCCCCUGUAGCGUAAGGAGCUGGAAGUGGCCCUCGGCAGAAGAAUCCGACAUCCCCGCUCUCGUGGUUGAAACUUGGCAGCUCGACCACAACAUUAGCUGGGCACCCGUUCCUGGUAAAUAUUGGGAGCCUCGUCUCAGCUCAACAAAUCUCUGCACUCCCCCCAGUGCUGCCUGCCUUGAAAAUUAAGAAUUUCCUUGCCAGAAAAAGCUGGCAGCCUCAGGUGUGCACAGCUGCGUGCGGCUUUGUUAAACUCCCCCCAUCUCCCAGCGAAUUUUGGGGUGAGGCAGAGGAAGGCUGACAGGAGCUCUCCAUUUUCCCAUGUACCGUUGCAAUCACGAACCUCCUCGGUGCAUUACCCAGUUGUCCAGAUUUAACACGAUCUUGUAGUGUUGGUUUUUUCCCCUGCAAACCCUUUUUCGUUCCCCAUUUUACUCCUCCAGAGCAGAUGAUUCAGUGCCGGGCUCGUUCUGCAGGUCGGGGCGUGCGAGCAGCGUCUGGCUGGCUGAAGGGCUUUCACUCGCAGUCUGCGUGGGCACAUUCACUUCGGACGUUGUUUUAAUGACUGUGGAGUUGCUCAUUUGAUUCCCAAGGCUGGAGAGCAGAAAUGAAUUAGUUUCAUUUCGAGACUGUGGCGUGCAAUCAUUUUUCCAGAGAUUGAUGUGCUCGGAAGCCAAAAUAAAUGCAUUGCCCAAUUGAGGAA